This 624-nucleotide ribosomal RNA is filed under the name uncultured bacterium. RNAcentral's name for it is "bacterial SSU rRNA". It matches the Rfam family "Bacterial small subunit ribosomal RNA", at positions 130 to 770 of the family's 1533-position model. The record is from RNAcentral.
CUCAAAGAGGGGGACAACAGUUGGAAACGACUGCUAAUACCGCAUAAGCCCACGACCCGGCAUCGGGUAGAGGGAAAAGGAGCAAUCCGCUUUGAGAUGGCCUCGCGUCCGAUUAGCUAGUUGGUGAGGUAACGGCCCACCAAGGCGACGAUCGGUAGCCGGACUGAGAGGUUGAACGGCCACAUUGGGACUGAGACACGGCCCUGACUCCUACGGGAGGCAGCAGUGGGGAAUAUUGCACAAUGGGGGAAACCCUGAUGCAGCGACGCCGCGUGGAGGAAGAAGGUCUUCGGAUUGUAAACUCCUGUUGUUGAGGAAGAUAAUGACGGUACUCAACAAGGAAGUGACGGCUAACUACGUGCCAGCAGCCGCGGUAAAACGUAGGUCACAAGCGUUGUCCGGAAUUACUGGGUGUAAAGGGAGCGCAGGCGGGAAGACAAGUUGGAAGUGAAAUCCAUGGGCUCAACCCAUGAACUGCUUUCAAAACUGUUUUUCUUGAGUAGUGCAGAGGUAGGCGGAAUUCCCGGUGUAGCGGUGGAAUGCGUAGAUAUCGGGAGGAACACCAGUGGCGAAGGCGGCCUACUGGGCACCAACUGACGCUGAGGCUCGAAAGUGUGGGUAGCA